RNAcentral lists this ribosomal RNA (256 nucleotides) under uncultured bacterium. RNAcentral's name for it is "partial 16S ribosomal RNA". It matches the Rfam family "Bacterial small subunit ribosomal RNA", at positions 1246 to 1500 of the family's 1533-position model. The record is from RNAcentral.
GAAGCAAAAUCGUGAGGCGGAGCAAAUCACAAAACACAGUCUCAGUUCAGGUUGUAGGCUGAAACUCGCCUAUAUGAAGCUGGAAUCGCUAGUAAUCGCGAAUCAGAAUGUCGCGGUGAAUACGUUCCCGGGUCUUGUACACACCGCCCGUCACACCAUGGGAGUCAGUAACGCCCGAAGUCAGUGACCCAACCAUAACCGGAGGGAGCUGCCGAAGGUGGGACCGAUAACUGGGGUGAAGUCGUAACAAGGUACC